This 1396-nucleotide ribosomal RNA is filed under the name bacterium NLAE-zl-P916. RNAcentral's name for it is "bacterial SSU rRNA". It matches the Rfam family "Bacterial small subunit ribosomal RNA". The record is from RNAcentral.
UGCAGUCGAGGGGCAGCAUUUCAGUUUGCUUGCAAACUGGAGAUGGCGACCGGCGCACGGGUGAGUAACACGUAUCCAACCUGCCGAUAACUCGGGGAUAGCCUUUCGAAAGAAAGAUUAAUACCCGAUGGUAUAAUCAGACCGCAUGGUCUUAUUAUUAAAGAAUUUCGGUUAUCGAUGGGGAUGCGUUCCAUUAGGCAGUUGGUGAGGUAACGGCUCACCAAACCUUCGAUGGAUAGGGGUUCUGAGAGGAAGGUCCCCCACAUUGGAACUGAGACACGGUCCAAACUCCUACGGGAGGCAGCAGUGAGGAAUAUUGGUCAAUGGGCGCAGGCCUGAACCAGCCAAGUAGCGUGAAGGAUGACUGCCCUAUGGGUUGUAAACUUCUUUUAUAUGGGAAUAAAGUUUUCCACGUGUGGAAUUUUGUAUGUACCAUAUGAAUAAGGAUCGGCUAACUCCGUGCCAGCAGCCGCGGUAAUACGGAGGAUCCGAGCGUUAUCCGGAUUUAUUGGGUUUAAAGGGAGCGUAGGUGGACAGUUAAGUCAGUUGUGAAAGUUUGCGGCUCAACCGUAAAAUUGCAGUUGAUACUGGCUGUCUUGAGUACAGUAGAGGUGGGCGGAAUUCGUGGUGUAGCGGUGAAAUGCUUAGAUAUCACGAAGAACUCCGAUUGCGAAGGCAGCUCACUGGACUGCAACUGACACUGAUGCUCGAAAGUGUGGGUAUCAAACAGGAUUAGAUACCCUGGUAGUCCACACAGUAAACGAUGAAUACUCGCUGUUUGCGAUAUACAGUAAGCGGCCAAGCGAAAGCAUUAAGUAUUCCACCUGGGGAGUACGCCGGCAACGGUGAAACUCAAAGGAAUUGACGGGGGCCCGCACAAGCGGAGGAACAUGUGGUUUAAUUCGAUGAUACGCGAGGAACCUUACCCGGGCUUAAAUUGCAUUUGAAUAANUUGGAAACAGGUUAGCCGCAAGGCAAAUGUGAAGGUGCUGCAUGGUUGUCGUCAGCUCGUGCCGUGAGGUGUCGGCUUAAGUGCCAUAACGAGCGCAACCCUUAUCUUUAGUUACUAACAGGUCAUGCUGAGGACUCUAGAGAGACUGCCGUCGUAAGAUGUGAGGAAGGUGGGGAUGACGUCAAAUCAGCACGGCCCUUACGUCCGGGGCUACACACGUGUUACAAUGGGGGGUACAGAAGGCAGCUACCUGGUGACAGGAUGCUAAUCCCAAAAGCCUCUCUCAGUUCGGAUCGAAGUCUGCAACCCGACUUCGUGAAGCUGGAUUCGCUAGUAAUCGCGCAUCAGCCAUGGCGCGGUGAAUACGUUCCCGGGCCUUGUACACACCGCCCGUCAAGCCAUGAAAGCCGGGGGUACCUGAAGUACGUAACCGCAAGGAGCGUC